UCCCGGUUGGUGUAGCUGGCAGCACGCCGGACUUUGGAUCCGUGAGCCCAGGUUCGAGCCCUGGACCGGGAGCCG
Molecule: transfer RNA, 75 nt
Filed under: Amycolatopsis sp. TNS106
Lineage: Bacteria; Bacillati; Actinomycetota; Actinomycetes; Pseudonocardiales; Pseudonocardiaceae
Description: tRNA-Gln
Rfam family: tRNA
About the family: Transfer RNA (tRNA) molecules are approximately 80 nucleotides in length. Their secondary structure includes four short double-helical elements and three loops (D, anti-codon, and T loops).
Source: RNAcentral